GGUCAAAUUACUAAGAAACUAUGCUAAGAUAACUGAUAAAGUUUUUAAUCCCCAUCUAAUUGAUAAGUCAUGGCCUCUCUUGGGUGAGUAUUGAUGUUAAAUAUGCCUGCUAUAAAUUUGUAAUCCAAUGUGUAUGAGAUACAUCAUAUUUUUUUUUUUUGAUAGGCAAACACACAACAAAAAUAUAUUAGAAAAGGGCGCCUUGAGGCUGACCCAAGCAUACAGGAUGUAUACAAGAGGCGCCAAUAGGCAUAAAAAGAAAAAGAGAUACAAUACCAGCCCUCAACUAGUGCCUAGCCAAUCAAAAAAACUGAUCAAAGGAAUAGGACCAUCAUUUACAACCGAUUUAGUCCACAGCCAAAGAUUACAAACAAAAGAAUUCUUCAACCUAUGAAUUGAUAACUCUUCAUUAUCAAAAGCUAUCCUGUUUCUUUCCUUCCAAACCGCCCAAAAAAUGCACAACGGGGCUGCGUUCCACACCUUCCUACGCUUCUUGCCCAACUUAAAGCCACUCCAACCACUAAGAGUAUCUCUAACCGAAGAAGGGAGGACCCAAGUAACACCAAACAGAGCAAACAAUAACUCCCAUAACCCUCUUGCCUUAGAGCACUGAAUAAGAAUAUGAUCAAUUGACUCUUCUUCCAUACCGCAAAGGAAGCAUCUAUUAGCUAGAGACCGGCCCCUCUUUUUAAGUUGAUCCAAGGUUAGCACCUUACCCCAAUAAGCUUCCCAAGCAAAGAAGCUCACUUUGGUAGGCACACAAGUACUCCAAAUAUUACUAUAGGGGAAUUGAACAUCUCUUCUUGAAGCUAGCGAACUAUAAAGGGACUUAACUGAGAAAAUCCCAUCUUUAGUCUCUUUCCACAGCAUUCUAUCUUCCAAAAGAGGAUUAAGCCUCCUACCCCGGAUUGUCAGAAGUAAUCUCUCCACCUCCUCCACCUCCCAGUCAUUAUAGGACCUAGAGAAGCUAGGAUUCCAAACCCCUUCAUCUCCCGAAUAAUCCCAUAACUCCUCUAGCCAAGCCUCUUUAAAUGAAGCAAAGGCAUACAAAGAGGGAAACAAAUUACUGAGAGAGAAAUUCCCACACCAAUUAUCAUUCCAAAAUUUUACCCUUCUACCAUUCCCCACAGAAAAGACAACUUUGUUUUGCAAGAGAGCUCCUUCCUUCCUUAUUUCCUUCCACAAGCUUACUCCAAACCCCUCCCUAACUUCUCUAGUAUACCAGCCCCCUUGUUCCUCCCCGAACUUCCUACCAAUGACUUGCCUCCAAAGAGCCUCCCUUUCAUUCGCAAACCGCCAAUUCCACUUGCAUAAAAGGGCUCUAUUAAGAGUAGUCAAACGUCUAACUCCCAAACCACCCUUCCUUAUGUCCGAGCACACGGAAUCCCAAUUUACUAGAUGAGGCUUCCUCUCCAAAGCUCCACCCCCCCACAAAAAAUCCCUUUGAAUUUUUUCCAAUCUUAAACUAACCACUCUUGGCAUUCGAAGUAACGACAUCAAGUAUAUGGGCAUACUUGACAAAGUACUACGAAUUAGGGUAAUUCUACCGCCUUUGGAGAUAUAAUUCCUUUUCCACAAGGCAAGCCUUCUCCGAAAUCUCUCUUCCACCCCAUCCCAAACAGCCACGGACUUGUGAUUCGCCCCCAAAGGGAUCCCCAAGUAAGAAUUUGGCAGCCUUCCCACUUUACAACCAACCUCAAGAGCCAAAGCCUCCAAAUUCUCUACUCUCCCAACCAGCAAAAUCUCGCUCUUAUCCAAAUUAAUCCUCAAACCUGAUAUGGCUUCAAACCACAUCAACAACCAGCUUAAAUGAGCCAUCUGAUCUUGGGAAGCUUCACAAAAAACUAAAGUAUCAUCGGCGAACAGCAAAUGAGUUACCAUAGCCCCGUCUCCACUUCUUCCUUCUAUCCUGCAGCCCGAAAGAAAACCCCCCCUCACUGCUCUAAAGAUGAGCCUACUAAGAGCCUCCAUCCCGAUAACAAAUAGGUAGGGAGAGAGAGGAUCUCCCUGACGCAAACCCUUGAACUAUUGAAAAAACCGGCUGGAGAGCCAUUGAUCAAAACUGAAAACGUCGCUGUGGAGAUACACCAGGAGAUCCAGCCAGUCCACUUCUCCCCAAACCCCAUUCUUUGCAAUACCAAUAGUAGAAAAUCCCAAUUCAAGUGAUCGUACGCCUUCUCUAUAUCUAGCUUACACAACACCCCAUAUAUGAGAUACAUCAUAUUGAGCAACUUGUAACAUAUUUUAUGAGUUUUGUUUGGAUUUGCUUGAAUGUUGUGGAGUAUGCUUCUAUAAAAUGUUUGCCCAAAA
This 2310-nucleotide long non-coding RNA is filed under the name Vitis vinifera (wine grape). Its description in RNAcentral is "long non-coding RNA (VVIN_LNC001635)". Lineage: Eukaryota; Viridiplantae; Streptophyta; Magnoliopsida; Vitales; Vitaceae. The record is from RNAcentral.